UACAGAGGGUGCAAGCGUUGUUCGGAAUUAUUGGGCGUAAAGAGCGUGUAGGCGGCCCGGUAAGUCCGCUGUGAAAGUCGGGGGCUCAACCCUCGGAUGCCGGUGGAUACUGUCGGGCUCGAGUACGGAAGAGGCGAGUGGAAUUCCUGGUGUAGCGGUGAAAUGCGCAGAUAUCAGGAGGAACACCAAUUGCGAAGGCAGCUCGCUGGGACGUUACUGACGCUGAGACGCGAAAGCGUGGGGAGCAAACAGG
This 253-nucleotide ribosomal RNA is filed under the name uncultured bacterium. Its description in RNAcentral is "partial 16S ribosomal RNA". It matches the Rfam family "Bacterial small subunit ribosomal RNA", at positions 524 to 776 of the family's 1533-position model. The record is from RNAcentral. RNAcentral also lists the same sequence under 1 other name.